This 716-nucleotide ribosomal RNA is filed under the name uncultured Bacilli bacterium. RNAcentral describes it as "bacterial SSU rRNA". It matches the Rfam family "Bacterial small subunit ribosomal RNA", at positions 28 to 719 of the family's 1533-position model. Lineage: Bacteria; Bacillati; Bacillota; Bacilli. The record is from RNAcentral.
GACGAACGCUGGCGGCGUGCCUAAUACAUGCAAGUAGGACGCACAGUUUAUACCGUAGCUUGCUACACCAUAGACUGUGAGUUGCGAACGGGUGAGUAACGCGUAGGUAACCUACCUAUUAGAGGGGGAUAACUAUUGGAAACGAUAGCUAAUACCGCAUAACAGUAUGUAACACAUGUUAGAUGCUUGAAAGAUGCAAUUGCAUCGCUAGUAGAUGGACCUGCGUUGUAUUAGCUAGUAGGUAGGGUAAAGGCCUACCUAGGCAACGAUACAUAGCCGACCUGAGAGGGUGAUCGGCCACACUGGGACUGAGACACGGCCCAGACUCCUACGGGAGGCAGCAGUAGGGAAUCUUCGGCAAUGGGGGGAACCCUGACCGAGCAACGCCGCGUGAGUGAAGAAGGUUUUCGGAUCGUAAAGCUCUGUUGUUAAGGAAGAACGAGUGUGAGAAUGGAAAGUUCAUACUGUGACGGUACUUAACCAGAAAGGGACGGCUAACUACGUGCCAGCAGCCGCGGUAAUACGUAGGUCCCGAGCGUUGUCCGGAUUUAUUGGGCGUAAAGCGAGCGCAGGCGGUUAGAAAAGUCUGAAGUGAAAGGCAGUGGCUCAACCAUUGUAGGCUUUGGAAACUGUUUAACUUGAGUGCAGAAGGGGAGAGUGGAAUUCCAUGUGUAGCGGUGAAAUGCGUAGAUAUAUGGAGGAACACCGGUGGCGAA